This 1346-nucleotide long non-coding RNA is filed under the name Junco hyemalis (dark-eyed junco). Its description in RNAcentral is "lncRNA (ENSJHYG00000014836.1)". The record is from RNAcentral. Lineage: Eukaryota; Metazoa; Chordata; Aves; Passeriformes; Passerellidae.
AGAUGGAUGGGGAUGGAGAUGGGAUGGAGAUGGGGACGGGACAGAGGUGAACACAGAAAUGGGGUGGGGUGGGGAACAGCGAUGUGGGACAGCGAUGACACCGAGCUCCACCCCUGUCCCAGAUGUGGGUCCAGGACCGCCUGCCCUUGGCCAUGCUCAAGGACCACGGCACCAACCUCCAGACCGUCCAGCAGUUCAUCAAGAAGAACCAGAACCUGCGCCGGGAGAUCCAGGUGCACCGGCCCCGCGUGGACGAGGUGCUGGAGCGCGCGGCCGCCGUGGCGUCCAUCCGGAGCCCCGAGGCCGAGGGCGUGCGGGGGCUGCUGGAGCGGCUGGGCGCGCUCUGGGCCGAGCUGCAGGAGCAGACGGAGCGGCGGCAGCAGGCCCUGGACGCCACCUUCCAGCUGGAGCAGUACUACUUCGACGUGGCCGAGGUGGAGUCGUGGCUGGGCGAGCAGGAGCUGCUGCUGAUGAACGAGGAGAAGGGGAAGGUGGGGCUGGGGGUGGGGGGCGUUGGUGGUUGGGUCAGCCUGGUUGGUUGGGUUGGGUGAAUUGGGUAAACUGGAUGGGUUGGGUUGGUUGGGUUGGGUUGGGUUGGUUGGGUGAGUUUGAUGGGUUGGGUUGGUUGGGUUGGGUUGGUUGGGUGAGUUUGAUGGGUUUGGUUGGGUUGGGUUGGGUUUGUUGGGUGAGUCUGAUGGCUUUGGUUGGGUUGGGUUGGUUUAAUUGGGUGGUUGGGUUGGGUUGGGUUGAGUUGAUUGGGUGAGUUUGAUGGGUUGGGUUGGUUUAAUUGGGUGAAUUGGUGAAUUGGAUGGGUUGCAUUGGUUGGGUUGGGUUGGUUGGGUUGUGUUUGGUCAUUGGGUUGGUUUGAUUGGGUGAAUUGGGUGGUUGGUUUGGUUUGAUUGGGUGGAUAGGUUGGGUGAGGUUGGGUUGGUUUAAUUGUGUGAAUUGUGUUGUUGGUUGGGUUGGGUUGGUUGAGUUGGUUUGAUUGGGUGAAUUGGUGAAUUGGAUGGGUUGAGUUGGUUGGGUUGGUUGGGUUGUGUUUGGUUAUUGGGUUGGUUUGAUUGGGUGAGUUUGAUGGGUUGGGUUGGUUGGGUUGGUUUAACUGGGUGAAUUGGGUGGUUUUGGGUUGAGUGAAGUUGGGUUGGUUGGUUGGGUUGGUAUAAUGGGGUGAAUUGGGUGGUUGGGUUGGGUUGGUUGUGUUGGGUUGUGUUUGGUCGUUGGGUUGGUUUAAUUGGGUGAAUUGGGUGGGUUGCCCUGGUUGGGUUGGGUUGAUUGGGUUGUGUUCAGUCAUUGGGUUGGUUUAAUUGGGUGAACUGGGUGGUUUUGGUUUGGGUGAAGUUGGGUUG